RNAcentral lists this long non-coding RNA (773 nucleotides) under Salmo salar (Atlantic salmon). RNAcentral describes it as "lncRNA (ENSSSAG00000109626.1)". The record is from RNAcentral. Lineage: Eukaryota; Metazoa; Chordata; Actinopteri; Salmoniformes; Salmonidae.
GUUUACUGGUCUCCUGGGGAUAUCUUGGAGCAAAUAUGGAUGACUCUACAUCCAUCCAAGGGUCUUCUUUUGUCGAUUGUUACCUUGAUGAGCAGAUGCUGAAGGUGAAGGGUCGCCAGAGACUCCAUGAGAUUGAGCAGGAAGUUCAUAGAGAGCUGAGCGUGACACCAAGCCAAUGUCACCAGUCUCCAGGAGAGGUAACCAUGGAGGGGCAGCAGCUCCUGACUGACAAGGCCAAGCCAUCGGUUCCUUCCCAUGAGCCUCUUGGUUCUGCAGCUCUGAUGAGUGGCGACACAGCAGAUAUUAUCUCAGAGAUUCAGGCCCAGCCUGAGAUCAGGUCAGAUGAGAUGCUCCAGGUGGAGUUCCUCAGCCAGACCCAGGUGGAGAUUCCACAAGAGGUCAGGGAGGUCAUGGACAGCCUGCUGGACAAGGUGGCAGAUGGAGAAGCCCAGGAGAAGAAGGCUGAGGUCCUCGUGCCAAACCUGAUCCCCAAUCCUCCCUCAUCCUCAGAAGUUUAUGUCAUAAAGGUCCUGGACAGCCAGGUAGACAAGGCGAAGAAGGUUGAGGCCCUUGACCUUAGCACAUGUCCCAUACUCCAAACGGCCCUCACAGACACUGAGACCGUGACGAAGACUGCAUACAAGAUCAUGCCGAAGCAGAUUGUGGUACUUGGUUCCACCGUCAAGCAUAUCAUCACCCAGGUGCUUCUUCAAGUAGAUCCCCAAGCCUUUCAGGGGGGAGUCUAUUUGGAGACACCUGUUAUCAUCAACGAC